Molecule: ribosomal RNA, 1020 nt
Filed under: Staphylococcus aureus
Lineage: Bacteria; Bacillati; Bacillota; Bacilli; Caryophanales; Staphylococcaceae
Description: partial 23S ribosomal RNA
Rfam family: Bacterial large subunit ribosomal RNA
Source: RNAcentral
CUGGGAGGACCAUCUCCUAAGGCUAAAUACUCUCUAGUGACCGAUAGUGAACCAGUACCGUGAGGGAAAGGUGAAAAGCACCCCGGAAGGGGAGUGAAAUAGAACCUGAAACCGUGUGCUUACAAGUAGUCAGAGCCCGUUAAUGGGUGAUGGCGUGCCUUUUGUAGAAUGAACCGGCGAGUUACGAUUUGAUGCAAGGUUAAGCAGUAAAUGUGGAGCCGUAGCGAAAGCGAGUCUGAAUAGGGCGUUUAGUAUUUGGUCGUAGACCCGAAACCAGGUGAUCUACCCUUGGUCAGGUUGAAGUUCAGGUAACACUGAAUGGAGGACCGAACCGACUUACGUUGAAAAGUGAGCGGAUGAACUGAGGGUAGCGGAGAAAUUCCAAUCGAACCUGGAGAUAGCUGGUUCUCUCCGAAAUAGCUUUAGGGCUAGCCUCAAGUGAUGAUUAUUGGAGGUAGAGCACUGUUUGGACGAGGGGCCCCUCUCGGGUUACCGAAUUCAGACAAACUCCGAAUGCCAAUUAAUUUAACUUGGGAGUCAGAACAUGGGUGAUAAGGUCCGUGUUCGAAAGGGAAACAGCCCAGACCACCAGCUAAGGUCCCAAAAUAUAUGUUAAGUGGAAAAGGAUGUGGCGUUGCCCAGACAACUAGGAUGUUGGCUUAGAAGCAGCCAUCAUUUAAAGAGUGCGUAAUAGCUCACUAGUCGAGUGACACUGCGCCGAAAAUGUACCGGGGCUAAACAUAUUACCGAAGCUGUGGAUUGUCCUUUGGACAAUGGUAGGAGAGCGUUCUAAGGGCGUUGAAGCAUGAUCGUAAGGACAUGUGGAGCGCUUAGAAGUGAGAAUGCCGGUGUGAGUAGCGAAAGACGGGUGAGAAUCCCGUCCACCGAUUGACUAAGGUUUCCAGAGGAAGGCUCGUCCGCUCUGGGUUAGUCGGGUCCUAAGCUGAGGCCGACAGGCGUAGGCGAUGGAUAACAGGUUGAUAUUCCUGUACCACCUAUAAUCGUUUUAAUCGAUGGGGG